GGAGGCAGGAUGGCUGGAGAUACAACUGGAACAGUAGUUGGGGAAAGCCUUGAAUUUGGGGAAUUGGGGCCGACCCUGGCCUUCUCCCCUUCCCUGGCCUUAUCCUCUUCCUCUCCUCUUCUCCUCUACCUGUCCCUGGGCACCCCACCCACGUCCUGGCUUCAGUGCUGUUGGUGCCAAAUCUCUCCUGACCUUUGGAUCCACAUAUCCACCAAUCUACUUGGACAUCUCCACAGGAUGUCCCUCAACAUCUCAAACCCACAUGUACACAAUUGACAACAUCCCCCUCCAGAUUUGAUUCUCCUGUACUCCCCUUUUCAGCACAUGCUUUCCACCUCCACCCAACUGCUCAAGCAAGAAACCUAGGGACCAUACUUGACUCCUUUCUCCCCUUUAUCCACUUACCCUAUCAGUCAUUAAGUUCUAGUGAUUCCACUCCCACAUAGCUCCCAAAUCCAUCUAGGACUCUUUUCUAUUCCUCUCCGUGUUUGGAUGGUUACAGUUGCCUUCUCACUGUUCUCCCACCUUCUAGUCUUCUCCACCCUCCAAUCCAUCUCCCAUUGCAACCAAAAGACUCUUUCAAAAAGGCUCCAGUGAAUCAGCAGCAUCUGUGCCAGCAGAAGGGCAAUACCCAUGGAUCAGGAUGAUUUCUGGAAGAGCAGAGCCAGAAGAGAGGCCAGUUUCAGGAGAGCUCCUCCAGAAUUCCUGAUGGAAACUUAGAAGAUGAGCAUUAGUGGGACGAACUACAGCCCCAAUUACUGUUCCUGUCCAGGGGCCACAACUAGUACUCAUUGCCUCCUUCAUUGUUUUCAAUCCUAAAUUCUCCUCACCCUCAGUUAGCAUCUCCUCUGGUCUCAGUGGCUUACCUGAGGAUAUGAGCCCCUGACCACCAUGCCUUCUCAGGCCAAGGUCGCUGCACUUGUCCCCUUAUUGUCAAAAUCGAGCAAGAGAGUACUGAGAAGCAUUCAAACUGGCCAAGAUGAUGAUUCUCCUUCUUGCCUGUUGGUCCCUGCGAACAAGGUGCCCAAAGUGCUCAGGUAGUAGCUAUAGCGUAUAGAUCAAUAGUACUCUUGCUGUAUCCUCUGGUGGAAGAUUCCCCCUCGGGGACAAAUAUCUCUAACCCUGCAGAGUCCAGAGUUGUGAGAGUUGGAAGCUCAAAUUCCACAG
Molecule: long non-coding RNA, 1167 nt
Organism: Neofelis nebulosa (Clouded leopard)
Lineage: Eukaryota; Metazoa; Chordata; Mammalia; Carnivora; Felidae
Exons: 3
Source: RefSeq, a predicted model, not a curated record